RNAcentral lists this long non-coding RNA (254 nucleotides) under Musa acuminata (dwarf banana). RNAcentral's name for it is "long non-coding RNA (MACU_LNC004902)". The record is from RNAcentral. Lineage: Eukaryota; Viridiplantae; Streptophyta; Magnoliopsida; Zingiberales; Musaceae.
GCCGGGAGGAGUACGAGGAGAGGGACGCGGGAACGUGCAAGGAGUGCUAUGAAGAGGCCAGCGAGACGGAGGAGGAGCUGAAGCGCGAGAUCGACGACCUCAAGUCCAAGGUCGCCUUCCUCCGCCUCGCCUCCCCCCACGACCUCGUCUCCACCACCGACCUCGUCCUCCACGCCUCCUCCUCUACCUCCCCUUCCUCUCCCUCCAAUCCGAAUUCCUCACUCUGCACCACCCCCGCCGUCCCCGCCCACCGC